CCUUCGAUAGCUCAGUUGGUAGAGCGGAGGACUGUAGAUCCUUAGGUCGCUGGUUCAAUUCCGGCUCGAAGGA
RNAcentral lists this transfer RNA (73 nucleotides) under Callorhinchus milii (elephant shark). RNAcentral describes it as "tRNA-Tyr (GTA) (tRNA-Tyr-GTA-1 1 to 7)". It matches the Rfam family "tRNA". Rfam says of the family: Transfer RNA (tRNA) molecules are approximately 80 nucleotides in length. Their secondary structure includes four short double-helical elements and three loops (D, anti-codon, and T loops). Further hydrogen bonds mediate the characteristic L-shaped molecular structure. tRNAs have two regions of fundamental functional importance: the anti-codon, which is responsible for specific mRNA codon recognition, and the 3' end, to which the tRNAs corresponding amino acid is attached (by aminoacyl-tRNA synthetases). tRNAs cope with the degeneracy of the genetic code in two manners: having more than one tRNA (with a specific anti-codon) for a particular amino acid; and 'wobble' base-pairing, i.e. permitting non-standard base-pairing at the 3rd anti-codon position. Lineage: Eukaryota; Metazoa; Chordata; Chondrichthyes; Chimaeriformes; Callorhinchidae. RNAcentral also lists the same sequence under 6 other names. The record is from RNAcentral.